CUACGGGAGGCAGCAGUGAGGAAUAUUGCACAAUGGGGGGAACCCUGAUGCAGCAACGCCGCGUGGAGGAUGACGCAUUUCGGUGUGUAAACUCCUUUUAUAUGUCAAGAAAAUGACGGUAGCAUAUGAAUAAGCGCCGGCUAACUCCGUGCCAGCAGCCGCUGGUAAUACGGAGGGCGCAAGCGUUACUCGGAAUCACUGGGCGUAAAGGACGCGUAGGCGGGUUGAAAAGUCAGGUGUGAAAGCCUACAGCUUAACUGUAGAACUGCACUUGAAACUUCUAAUCUAGAGUAUGGGAGGGGGAGAUGGAAUUAGUGGUGUAGGGGUAAAAUCCGUAGAUAUCACUAGGAAUACCUAAAGCGAAGGCGAUCUCCUGGAACAUUACUGACGCUAAGGCGUGAAAGCGUGGGGAGCAAACAGGAUUAGAUACCCCUGUAGUC
This 440-nucleotide ribosomal RNA is filed under the name uncultured bacterium. RNAcentral describes it as "partial 16S ribosomal RNA". It matches the Rfam family "Bacterial small subunit ribosomal RNA", at positions 339 to 795 of the family's 1533-position model. The record is from RNAcentral.